GAUGAACGCUGGCGGCGUGCUUAACACAUGCAAGUCGAACGGUGGAGGCGGAGCUUGCCCUGCUGGAUCUUUGGCGCACGGGGGUGUAACACGUGAGGAAACCGUCCCUAUCUCUGGGGUAAGCGCUGGAAACGGCGUCUAUUACAGCAUACGAGAUUCUAAAGCGCCUUGAUCAGAAGGAAAGAACGUCGGUCAGGGAUGAGCUCGCGGCCUCUCAGCUUCUUGGUGAGGUAACGGCGCACCAGGGCGACGACGGGUAGCCGGCCUGGGAGGGUGGCCGGCCACACUGGGACUGCGACACGGCCCAGACUCCUACGGGAGGCAGCAGUGGGGAAUAUUGCGCAAUGGGCGAAAGUCUGAGGCGGCAACGCCGCGUGAGGGACAACGGCCUUCGGGUUAUAAACCUCUUUUAGCAGGGAAGAAGCGAAAGUGACGGUACCUGCAGAGAAAGCGCCGGCUAACUACGUG
Molecule: ribosomal RNA, 468 nt
Filed under: uncultured bacterium
Lineage: Bacteria
Description: partial 16S ribosomal RNA
Rfam family: Bacterial small subunit ribosomal RNA
Source: RNAcentral